This 87-nucleotide microRNA precursor is filed under the name Trichomalopsis sarcophagae. RNAcentral describes it as "mir-2944 microRNA precursor family". It matches the Rfam family "mir-2944 microRNA precursor family". Lineage: Eukaryota; Metazoa; Arthropoda; Insecta; Hymenoptera; Pteromalidae. The record is from Rfam by way of RNAcentral.
AGUGGAGAAAUUUUAAGGAACUACUGCUGUGAUGUGUGUGUCUUUGACUGGCAUAUCACAGUUGUGGUUACCUGAGAUUUUUCAACU